RNAcentral lists this long non-coding RNA (33198 nucleotides) under Zea mays. RNAcentral's name for it is "long non-coding RNA (ZMAY_LNC001702)". Lineage: Eukaryota; Viridiplantae; Streptophyta; Magnoliopsida; Poales; Poaceae. The record is from RNAcentral.
AAAUCAGCACUAGAGACUUAGUACAAGAAUACUUGGCAAACCAAACAUUUCCGACCUCUGGCGGUUGGAGAAUGCCGAAGAAGAAAGAGGAAGGGAAAAGUAUGAGCUUGUCUGGCUGCCUUAUCAAUUUAAGUUCCAAAAACGAUUUAAGGAGCCAUGCAAUGAAUGGUUAGAAUUAAUAUAAACUAUGUGUAAUGAAAUUCUUGGAAAUUAUACAAAGAAAGAGGAUCAGUUGAUGACUGCUGCCUUCGACACUUGCCCAAAGAGAAGGUUGAACCGCAUGAUGGAUGCUCUAAACUUUAAGUAUCCUGAUUAUGAGAGACUUGAUGAAGGGGCCGAAGGAGCCAAAAUAAAAAUAAUUGUUAGCAUUCUGAAUCAACAGGCCAUUCGGUCAGUUAAGGAGGAUAAGAAGGCUUUGAAAAAGUAGAAAACUCUAUCGGAGCCGAAGGAAUCGUUUCCCAAGGAACGAAAACUUGUCAAGAUAUCUUCUGAGGAGACGAAGGUACAAGAUGUGCCGAAGCAGAUUAUGAGCCCUUCUUCAUCUUUUGCUAUAGAGGUCUCGGAGAUUUUGAAGGUAAUGACUGAACCUUUCCCAUUUGCACUGCUAAGUCCUCUAAGGUUGGAUCUGACUAGCCUUUUGCAGUCAAAGGAAAUUGCUUCGACUAUUGAGGGGAAAAAUGAGGGGCAAAAGAAGCGGUGUAUGAUGAAUAUAAUGGAAGCUAUUGAACAGACCCUGCCCUCAGCUUCGGCGGACAAAGCUAUUAUACCCGUUGAUGCUGAAGAUACCGCUGCAGCCGAAGCCGAGAAUCUCGCAACCACCCUGUCGGAAAUCGACAGACUUAUUUCGGAUGUGGUUGCGGAGAAAGAUGUAGCCAUAGUGCCUUCUGAUAAGGGGAAAAGAAUUGAAGAGACCACCUCGGAAAAUACGAAUUUCGACCUUCAGCACCUAGGUGGCCAACAGCUUUCCGAAGAGGACAUAUCAGAAUUAAAAGAAUUUGCCAUAUCCUACGGCUACCAACCUGGAUCAAUGCUCUUCGGCGGUGUUGAUGAAGAAAUUGUGGGAUGCAUUCGCGACCGGUCCGGGGCUAAUAUUAUAAGAACUUUGUCUAAGAGCAUUGGAUUUCUAAAGCUUGAAAAGGAUAUUAGCUGCUAUAGACUCAUUGGCAGCUUGUUUUACUCAAACUUCAAAGCAAGACUCCUUUGCAAGUUAUCGAUGGUAUCUUCGUAUUGAUUUAGGUAUUCUAACUUUGGUUCAUUUUUUUAGAGUUUAUUGCUAAGCAAAGCCUUGAAUAUGCAACAAGAUGACGAAGAUAGGAAAAAUGAAAUUAUCGUCAAAGGCUUUGAAGAUAAAAUCAGAAAACUUGAAGAUUCUUUGAAAGAAGAAGAUAGCCUGCUACAUUCAACUGAAGGAUCACUUGCUGAAGCUCAGGCUCAGAAUGAGAAAUUAAGCAAAGAGCUGAAGGAGACUCAAACACUUUUGGAAGAGAACUCCAGCCGGUUCGGCCGUGAAACCGAAGCUUUAAAUAUGACAAUUAAGGUUGAUGCUGAGAAGAACCUGAAACUGAGUGAAGCGCUUAAAGCUCUUAAGAAUUAAUGUUUCAACUUUGCGGCCCAAUGCACUGCUUGGCUAAAAAGUAUAUUCAAUUCAGUCGUAGCCGCAUCCAAAGAAGCCAGUCUUUCUGCUGAAGAUAUCCCCGGGGCACUUGAAUGCAUUGAGAAAGAAGUUGACGUCCUCGAUGAAGUCAAAACUGGCCACUGUGACUUCUGUGCGCUAGUAGCUUCUUGUGGUAUGGCUGCUGCUUUCAUAAAAGCCGGAUACAAUCAUGCAAGGGUCGUUAACAGACCAAACUUCAGCCUGUCUCCAACUGACCUUAUUGACAUUCCGGCCGAAGCCCAAAGCAUAGGUAACGAAUUUAUUACCCAGAUCUGGGCAAAUGGCGGUCGAGAACUGGCUGGAGAUGAAGCUCGAAAUUUGCUCAAGGUAUAAAAAAUCUUUUUACCUUUGUGCUUUUAUUUUAUAUUUUAUCUUACCAUGUUCCUCAGUACCUACCUUUGUCAUUCUUCAGGAUGAUGAUGCCAAGAGCUAGCGGACCGAAGCUAUACCAGAAGCAUUAGAGGAAACUUCGAAAGCUUCAUUUGCUAGUAUUUGUAAAAACACUUUUGGAAGCUCUUUGUGUAAAGAGAUGUAUUAUUUGACGAAGAAUUGUAAUUGACUAUGAGCAAAUAGUUGUAAAUAUUUGUAAAUGCUUUGCAACGCUAUUUUACCUUUCAUCCGUGCGUUAUCUGCUUUGCUGUGGAUGAAACCAAUGCUCGUAGCUUUUUGAGCCGAAGGCGAAAACAACUUCCCUUCUUUUCGUUCACAUCAAAGCACCUUUUGAGCAAAAUCAAACAUCGGCUCCCUCUUAUGCAAUGAGACGAAGCAUCUUCGUAUAUAGAAACCUUCGCUUUUCCUGUUAAUGAUUUAUGCUUUAUGUCAUGAUGAUGAAUCUACGGAUGCCUAAUGCAUGUUUGUAUGAAUGCAAAACAUGAUGUAAUGAAAUGUGCAAACGUAUGCCUAAGGUAAACAAACUCACACAAACAUGUACCCAGACUCUGCAUCCCCUUAGAAAUGACUUUGGAGUCUCUUCACCUUUUACUUAGGUGGUAUUUCAGCUCUGCAUUCCCUUGGGAACGACUUUAGAGCUAAGCUCUGCAUCCCCUUAGGAACAACUUUGGAACUUCUACACCUUUCACUUAGGUGGCAUUCUAGCUCUGCAUUCCCUUAGGAACGACUUUGGAGCUUAUUCACCUUUCACUUAGGUGGCAUUGUAGCUCUGCAUUCCCUUAGAAACGACUUUGGAGCUUCUUCAUACUUUUUACACUCGAUGGUGUAAUCCCAAAUCUUUACAUUUUUACAUGUGGGGGAAUCUGGCCCUUGUAUUGCACAGGGAUGCACAAAAAAUAAUAAUUACAACCUAUGGCCCCAUUAAAAACCUUUCUCCCCUCUUGAAAGGAAAAGGGUGCCAUAAGGAAAAAAGUAAGAAAAUUUCAAAAUUUAAUUUACACAUAAUAUCUUCGAAGCUCAUCUGCAUUCCAUGAUCUUGGAAUAUCAUUACCGUCCAUGUCUUUCAACCUGUAUGAUCCAGGUCUUGACGAAGAUACCACCAAGAAAGGACCUUCACAUUUAAGCUGAAGUUUUCCCACUAUAUCCAGGUUGGCCACUCUUCGAAGUACUAAGUGUCCUGGCUUGAUAUUCUUUAAUUUUACCUUCCGAUCUUGCUAUUUGACUGUUUUGGCUUGAUACUUAUUGAUGUUAUCUAUUGCCUGAAGUCUGGUCCCUUCUAUGGUGUCUUUUGUUAUUUUACAAUCGUCUUCAUCUUUUGCCGAAGCUGAGGUCCUUAUCGAACCUGUUCUUGCUUCUUCCGGUGUUAUUGCUUCAUCACCGAAUAAAAGCUUAAAUGGGGUAAAUCCUGUUGACCUUGAGACAACAGUGUUGUGGUUCGAUACCACUUUUAUUAAUUCAUCCGACCACUUUCCUUUUGGCUGAUUGAAGUUUGACUUCAUUAUUCCUAUUAUUAUGAUUUCGUUAGCUCGUUCUACCAAUCCAUUUGAUUAUGGAUGCCUUAUAGAUGCAAAAUGUAUUUUUGUACCAAUUUGGUCACAAAAGGUUUUGAAUGUUUCAGCAUCAAACUGAGUUCCAUUAUCAACUAUAAUGGCCUUUGGCAUACCAAACCGACAAGCAAUAUUCUGCUAGAAAAACUUCUGGACCGUGGCCGAAGUGAUUGUAGCUAGAGGUUUAGCUUCAAUCCACUUUGAAAAAUACUCCACCUCUACCACAACAUAUUUUAAAUUUCUUUGCACUGGUGGAAGUGGGCCUAAAAAAUCUAGGCCCCACCUUUGCAAUGGCCAAGUGGGCUGGAUUAGCUGAGUUAAAGACGAAGGUUGUUUUUGGUCUCUAGCACACUUCUGGUAGUUUUCACAUUUUUGAACUAAAUCUGCUGCAUUCGAAGCUGCCUUCGGCCAAUAAAAUCCUUAUCUGAAAAACUUUUCCAAGUAACGGUCUGGACCCAAUAUGAGCUCCGCAUACCCCUGCAUGUACUUCUUUCAUUAGCUCCUGGCCUUCGGCUCUGGAUAAACACUUCAGCAAUGGAGAGCAAACUCCUUGUUUAUACAAUUCUCCUUCUAUGAUCAUGUAAGGCCUUGUCAUGGCUUCCAUUCUUUUUAUAUAGACUUCGUCGUCCGAAGGAUAAUUUUCUUGCAAGAAAGAUACAAUCUCAGUUCUCCAAUCUUCACUGUGCACUAGUGAGAUUGUAAGCACGGCUCGCUCCAUAAGCUCGACGGAAGGUGCUUUUAUUGUUUCAAAGAAUACUUCCGAAGGUAGUGGGAGCCCCUGUGCCGCUGACUUAGCUAACAAAUCUGCGUGCUCAUUUUCUCCUCUUAGGAUAUUCUUUACUGAGAAGCCUUCGAAAGAGGAUUCCAUUCUUCGAACUAUAUCUAGAUAUUUCUCAAGCUUCGGAUCUCUUGCUUUGAUGCUUUUAUCAAUAUGGCCUGUAAUAACAUGUGAAUCAGACUUGAGGACUGCCCUUCUUACUCCCAUUGCCUUGAGCUUUUGAAGCCCCAAGAGAAGGGCUUCGUAUUCUGCAAUGUUAUUUGUGCAGUGGAACUCUGGCCUGGCUGCGUAACAUGUUCUGAUCUUGGAUGGUGAAAUUAUGAUAGCAGCUGCACCUGCACCGAAGGUUCCCUAUGACCCAUCAUAGAACAUUGUCCAAGCUUCGUUAUCUUUUGUUCUUUCUUGAUCUGAGCCCCUGGCGUCCGAUCAGCAAUGAAGUCUGCUAAUGCUUGAGAUUGGAUUGAAGACAUGUGGACAUAAUCUAUAGUGAAUUCAUUCAGCUCUGCAGCCCACUUUCCAACUCUUCACAUGGCUUAUUUGUUCCUUAUUAUGUCCUUGAGAGGUUGAGAAGAAGGUACUAUAAUAUGGUAUGACUGGAAAUAAUGCCGAAGCUUUCUGGAGGCCAUCAAUACAGCUUAUAGUAUCUUCUCCAGCUUUGUGUAAUUUCUUUUGGACGGACUAAGUACUUCAGAGACGAAGUACACUGGCACUUGCUUCUUCGCUUGGCCAUCUUGCUUAUCUUGCACCAACGCUGCACUAACUGCAGCGUGAGAAGUAGCUACAUACAACAACAAUGGGUCUCCUAAUGAAGGUGGAGUUAAUGUUGUCAGUUCUAUUAGAUAUUGCUUUAGCUCUUCGAAAGCCUUUUGUUGGGUUGGUCCCCAUUGAAAGACUUUGGCUGAUUUCAGCACUUCAAAGAAUUGCAAGUUCCUUUCUGCUGAUCUUGAAAUAAAUCUAUUCAAUGAGGCCAACCUUCCUGUCAAUCUCUAGGCACCUUUUCUUGACUUCAGUGGCUCCAUCUGAUGUAUAGCUUCUAUAUUGUUUGGGUUAGCUUCAAUUCCUUUUGUUGACACAAGGCACCCAAGAAAUUUCCCCUUCUUCACUCCGAAGACACAUUUCUCUGGGUUGAGCUUGAGGUCGGCCUUUCUAAAAUUGGCAAAUGUUUCUUGUAAAUCGGCGAUGUGAUUUUCUUGCUUGAUACUUUUCACUAUGAUAUCAUCGACAUAUGUUAGAACAUUCCUGCCAAUCUGAGAACAAAGGACUUUAGUAGUCAUCCUGCUAAAACUUCCUCCGGCAUUCUUGAGCCCCUUGGGCAUCCAAAGAUAGCAGUAGGUCCCACUAGGAGUUAUGAAGUUUGUCUUAGGCUUGUCUUCCUUCUUCAUCCAGAUUUGAUGAUGAUAACCUGAAUAACAAUCCAAUAGACUCAUGAGCUCUGGAGUAGCUGCUGCAUCCACUAGGGAAUCUAUUUUUGGCAAAGGGAACUCAUCCUUCGGACAUGCCUUGUUGAGAUCCAUAAAAUCAAUGCACAUCCUCCACUUUCUAUUAGCCUUCUUCACCAUCAUAGUAUUGGCUAACCACUCUGGAUAUGUCACCUCUCUAAUUACUCUGGCACUCAGGAGUCUUUUGACUUUGUUUCUUGCACCUUCAGCUUUGUCAUCGGACAUCUUUCGAAGCUUUUGCUUCCUUGGCCUGAUAGUCGGAUCUACAUUAAGUGAAUGCUUAAUGACAUCUUUGUUGACACCGCAAAGAUCAUUAGCCGACCAAGCAAAGACAUCCUUGUGGUUGAACAAAAACCUCAACAAAAUUUUUUCUUGUCCGCCAGACAAUUGAGACCCCAACAACACCUUUUGCUAUGCUAUGUCUUCACAUAGAAGCAUGGGCUUCGGCUGAUCUGCUGAGGCAACCUUAUCUCUUUUAUGCUUAUAUUGUUGAUGAGCUUAGGCUUCAUCUAUGUUAUGGAUGGCCUUUGAAUCUGUCCAGUUCCCUUCGGCCCUUCUAGCAGCCUCUUGACUCCCAAGCACAGCGAUGAACCUUGGUCGGAAGGUAUCUUCAUGCACAGAUAUGCUGGGUGAAAUAUUGCUUCGAAGGCGUUCAACGUCCCUCGACCAAUGAUUGCAUUGUAAGGAUAAUCCAUAUCAACAAUGUCGAAUACAACUUGCUCUAUUCUUGUGUUGUGAACAUAUCCGAAGGUGAUUGGCAUUGUUAUCUUCCCGAGUGUCACUAUCUGCCUUCCUCUGAAGCCACAUAGGGGGUGUGUUGCGUUAUGUAUCUUGUUAUCCUGCUCCUGCAUUUGCCUAAAGGCUUUUGCAAAGAUGAUAUCUGCUACACUGCAUGUGUCUACGAGGACAUUGUGAACCAGAAACCCCUGGAUAACACAAUAUAUAAUCAUUGCAUCAUUGUGAGGGUAGUCCUUGAGCUGAAGGUCCUCUUGAGAUAAGGUGAUUAAUAUAUGAGACCACUUGGACUUAAUGAAGGGUCCCUGCACUUCAACAUGUUGUACUCUUCUUUGUGCCUCCUCCUUCUUCUUCUUAUUAUCUAGUUCAGAACUUGAAUCACAUGUGAUUGGGUGCACCAGCUUUGUAGCCGAAGGUGCCACGGCUUGGGUUCUUUGCGAAACCAUUGUCGCGAUUGUGGAAGCGAGUUCACCGGAGGGGGGCACCAAUGUUGGUCAUUUGUUCUCAAAUGUUGUGAAUCAAGAACAAGGCAACACAAAUGUUAAGUAUUUAGGACCUUCGUCUUCCAAAACAUUACCUCCUCGCUGAUAUAAGGAUCAUCAGACGAAGGUCAUGAAGGUCAUGCCUUCAUCAUAUUAUAGUUAAAUAAGAAUACAUAAGGGUAAAUAUAAUGAAUAUGACUCAUUGAUUCAUUCAUAUUUGCAUUCCAUAAAGUAUGUAUGAUAAUUAACAGAAGCUGUAUUACAUUGAUAACUUCGGCUUACUCGAAGGUGAUGACGCGGGGGUGAUUACAAUUCAGCGUGAACAGUACGGUGCUACUGUUCAUCUAUUUAUAGGCACGGGACGUAGCCCAGGUAAAAUUACAUUUAUGGCCUUCAACAUUUGUUCAUAAUUGUAACACAAAUCACUAGAGACUAGCUAGUCUUUUCAUCCUCUGUUUGGUUUAAGCGAAAGCUAGUGGCAGCUUUGGCGCUUGCCAUCAUUGCUUCCAGACGAGAUCUUCGCCUUAAGGAGCUUCAGUAGAGAAAAAGUAAGUCUUCAGUACCACGUUGCCGAUGGUUUUUGUCUUGAGGACCUUCGGUGGAGAAGAAGACCCCCAACAGUAACCAUGUCGUGCUUGUGUCAGCACUACGGGUUGAGAUGGUGGCCCAGGCACGGCACUAUAGCCAGCUGUGUCGUGCCAGACACUGACACUAUACUAGCCGGGCCAGGUCAUGCCUAGGCCAUGCUUUUUUGUGUCGUGCCUAGUCUGGCCCAUCGUGUUAGUGCCAAUUGGGCAUCUAUAGUCUUGCUAGGAGCAAGUUUAAUAAUGUAGCCAACUUCGGGCAAGAAUAUCUCCAAUAGUUAUGUAAAUUUAGCAUAUAGAAAGUUGUCAAAUACAUUGAGGAGUAAAAAAUGUUUGUGCUCCAACAUUUCUUUAUUUAUUGUUUGCUAAUUUUUAAAGUUGUUUGUCAUAGAAAAAAAGUAGGUUUGCUUUCUAUUUUUAAUUAAUCUAUCAACAACCUUCUCUAACAUUUUGGAAGAUUUUGAGUUGUCGAUGUAAGACCAGACGGUCAUGGCAACGGUGCCUCACCAUAAGAGAUUUUCUAGCAGUAACGGUGUCGAGAUGUCUGAACACUGGAAAUGGAUUUGUGGCAAAUGGGUCGGUGGGACAGUCCAACGUUGAUUUAGAGAGUCCCAACAAGAUUGCUAAAUGUAGAGAUGAAAUUAGGUUUUGUAGGUAGUUUAUAAAUUUAAAAACUUGCUUUACAUAACUGUUGGAGAAGAGUUUUUUCUCAAAAGCUUCUUAAAUUCAUAUUUAGGGAGUCGUUUACAUAACUAUUGGAGAUGCUGACCUUUGUAGCCUAUCUUAUAGCCGAUAUAUAUAAUGGUUAGAAAUUGGCAAUUAAUAUAUGGUCCACUUGUCUCUCACAUAAUUUUUUAGUUCCCUUGUAUAAGUUGGCUAUUCGUUUGUAGUCUGCUUUUAGUCUCUCUCCUCCCAUGUCAUCUUCCAUAUCAGCAUUUAGUCGGCUUACAACAACAUAUUAUACUUGCUCUCAUUCGUUCACCCCGCGCUCGCUCGUUUACGCUAUAUUUCGCUCGCACGGUAAAAGCUCCACAAUCGCCCUUUCCAUCCAGCGCCCAAGCCAGUUCUUAGUUCCCACCGUUCCACCUGCAUGCAUCGCGCUCGCUUAUACCACCAUACUCGCUUGUUCACGCCAGCCAUGCCAUGGAUGUUUGGCUGGAGUGUCCUGCACCGGAUGUCGCGGCGCCAUUGAAGAAGCUCCAGAUGAAGUCAUGUCGCAGUCACUCACCUCAUCGAAGUUGGCGUCCGACUCCAUGUUUCGUCGCGGGAUGGAGAUAAGGGUUGACGACGAUAUCGAGCAGGAGUCCUUUAUGCCAUACUCGGUGCUACCAAAGUCCAAAACUUCUCUACAUGUUGUUGAGGUAUGCCACAAAGGCUUGCCUACAUCCAUGUUGUUGAGGUAUGCCAUAAAGGUUAAGGAUCACACACCCUUCCUUGAUCAUAAGUCACUCUUGAGAUGAGAACUUUUUCAUUAAUUUCAGGGGUAACUUAAAGAUUUGAAGGGCUGCAAUAAGUGUCCUACAGCUCAUGGAUGAAGCUCUUGCCAACUAGGAGCUAAAAGGGAAAUGUGCCCUUGGGCCAUUUCUAGUUGUCUUGGUGAUUAACUGCCCAACACACCACUUUGAAGUAACCUUAUUCAUAUGAGCAUGAGCACAUGUUUAGAUCAAGCAAAUUGGAGAUGAGAAGUCCUAAUGAGUUGGACUAGAAGACCAAAAGAGAAAAGCACUUUUUGGACUUGAGUUUAUACAUAUUGCAAAUCCUUUUUGAAAUGAAGUAAAAAAGGUAUGGUCCGUAUACUUAGUCAAUUGUUUUAGUUUCUAACUAUGUUUGUCUAAGUGCUAGGGAACCUCUCAAGAAGAGUCAAAAAAAGCUGGAGAAGUUUGGUUCAAAAGAGCCAAACUUGGGCCAGUCUAGGACUCACAAGACUGUCCUGUGUGCAUGUCCAGUGAGGUAUAUGGCUGAAGAUGCUGCUCUCAAAAAUUUUAUUGAUAAAACUCAUCGAACAGUAAAUAGUGCAAUGUCUGGUGCAUCAGACAUCGUCUUCAAUGGCUCUCUCCGCGGGAGGGCGCUAGCCGCCAACGACUUUCUUACGUGGAAGCUGUCUGUUGGCGCACCAAACUGUCCGGUGCCACGCCGAAAAAGGAAACCGGCCAAUCAGAUCGUCGGUCGACCAUUGGCAACCAGAAAUCCAGUAGUGCACUGGACUGUCCGGUGGCAGAAUGGACUAUGUGAUAUCCUGGCCCUAGGGGAUGGUGAUAUCCUGGCCUAAGGCUUAAAAAUCAAUAGAGUACUCAUAUCAACAAGGUGCAUCUUCUUUUUUGGAAGCCUAUCUCAAAAGAACCUCCAAGUUAAGCAUGCUUGGUUUGGAGCAAUUUAGGAUGGGUGAUUGACCGGGAAGUUUUCUUGGGUGCACAUGAGUGAGGACAAAGUGCACACAAAAGACUCGUGUUGGUCUAUGGGGACAAUAUAUGGUCCUAGAGAGCUGCAAGGAGUAAGUACCACCGAUCCGAUAGUGGAUAGGGUGUUUCAAGUGGUAUUAGAGCCGACCCACCAGUUUCACAGGCGUGUGUGGGUUAGGGGUUCGGUAUAUGGUGCAUGGCGCAUGUGGGCCCAAAGUGGUCACAUGGUAUGGCAUAUGACAACACUAGACACACAGACGUAGCUAAGAGGGGAGGUUCCUCGAUUCGGGUAGACCGAUGAGGAUGUCGGUCUUCUAAGGGGGGGUGAAAUGUGAUAUCCUGGAGCAUGUGGGCCCAAAGUGGUCACAUGGCAUGGCAUAUGAUGACACUUGACACAUAUACAUAGCUAAGAGGGGAGGUUCCUAGAUUGGGGUAGACAGAUGAGGAUGUUAGUCUUCUAAGUGGGGUGGAUUGUGAUAUCCUGGCCCAAGGCUUAAUAAAAUUAAUACAGUACUCAUAUCAACAAGGUGCAUCUUCUUUUUCGGAAGCCUAUCUCGAAAGAACCUCCAAGUUAAGCGUUCUUGGCUUGGAGAAAUUUGGGAUGGGUGACCGAUAGAGAAGUUUUCUCGGGUGCGCAUGAGUGAGGACAAAGUGCGCACAAAAGACUCGUAUUGGCCUGUGGGGACAAUAUAUGAUUGUAGAGAGUUGCUAGGAGUAAGUAUCGUCGGUCCGAGAGUAGAUGGGGUGUUACAGACUAUCCGGUGAGCUCGUAGAUAGGGAAGUUUUUCAGCUUCCUUAUGGAGAAGGCAACGACUCCUAGACCUCUUGGAGCUAUAAAAGGAGCCCCUAUGUGCCUCUCUAGAACAACAAGCAUCGUAAGAGCACAGUACAACUCCGAGACUCCACGACCACGCUGUUCUAGUGUUCCAGAGAGAUUUGAGCCGGUUUUGAGUUGUCACUCUUUUUGUGUUCUUACACUCUCUUCUUUGCUUCUGUGUGUGUUGUUGCUGCAAUUGUGCUCUUGUGUGCAUAUUCUAACUCCUCCCUUACUCUAAGUUUGAUUGUGACCAUUUAUGUAAGGCGUGAGAGACUCCAAACUUGUGGAGAUUCCUCACAAACAGGUUUGAUAUAAGGAAGAAUAUUAUGGCACUCAAGUUUGAUCUUUGGAUCACUUGAGAGGGGUUGAGUGCAACCCUUGACCGAAGGAGGUAACCAUAGCAUGGAGUAGGCUUUGGCCGAACCACGAGACAAAUCAUUGGGUCUCUUGUCCGCUUUACUUUACUACCAUUUUUGUCUUCCUUUGAGCUUAACCUUCACUUACGUAUUGCUCCUAGUUUAAUACACAUCUCAAGAGAGCAAUCAAGUGAAGAGUCUUUCUUUCUCUCCUCUUCUCAUAUGAACUUGGUUUAAUUUAUUCUAACUCAUAUCAUAGACCAAGUUUUAUUGUUUUGAGCAAGUUUUGUAGGAUCACCUAUUCACCCCCUCUAGGUGCUCUUAGGAGCAAGCUCCAAGGAUGGAGUUGUGUAUGCUGGACUCAAGGACUCCAAUACUCAAGAGUAGGAAAACUGAGGAAGAGAGUGUAUUCUUGUUGUGUUCUUCUGAGUUUGAAUGUAUUGUCUUAGUUAGCUGGUUGGGAUGGAGUGUGCAACAGUAUAUGUAACAAAGUGAGACAAGGGGCAAGAUAUGUUGUCUGCAAUAGAUCUUGCUAUUAGGAUACACAGAAGGGAGCUAUUGGGACGAGCACGGAUAGAAUAUUCAAAGCCCCCACUUGUCUAAUGGGUAUUUCAAAAUCUGGUUGUGCUAGGGCGUGGUAGUACCACAUGCUUAUGCGGUAGUGUCGCGCAGGUCCAAGGAACAUAAAUGAGUUGGUAUUAUAUCACUGUGUUCCUAGACCUAAGUAUGAGUGGUUCGUGGCUUUUGAGCAUUGGAAGAACCCGAUGUAGACAAACUCAAAUCCUCCUAAUAGUACGAAACUUCUACAAUAAAUAAUAAAAUAAAUAUACAAUGUAAUCCAUUUUCGAUUUGGGGUUGCCACCACUGUCAUGAUACCAGUCAUUAACUUGUCGUGAUACUUGUCUUUUCUUUUCUCAUUAACUUGUCAUGAUACUUGUUAAGCAAUGUUAGGUCUCUAAUUACAAGGUCAUCAUCACCAAAACCCACACUUAGGGCUUGAUUGCACUUACAUGCAUGUCGCACAUAGGCUCUAUGGACCAUUAGUGUUUGGCCCAGAAAUGCGCCAACAUACUUUUUGGUGACUCUGUUGGGGAUGAAAGCUUUGGAUCUACAAAAAAUGGAUGCAAUGGCUUAUUCAAAAUAUCUCAACGAUGUUUCUCUAGACAAUAACACAAGACUGAUUAUAGAUGAUUUGUCGGUCGCUGAGCAGAAGGAAUUUGAAGACUACUUGAAGAAGCUAGACGAGGAGGCCUAGUGAGGACAAGCUCAGAUUCGUGAGGAGGUAAAGAGGUGGUACCUCUCGCACUUCACCGUAGAUCGUCACCAAAGGGUCAUCCAAGAGAGGGAAGUGGAGCUCGCUUCCAUAAUGGCCUCGCUGUAGCCCGCCACUACAAAUGCAAUCGGCUAUCGAUAAAGUUUGAUUGAAAUUUCUAGACAUGCAGUUGGGCAAUCAAUCCUUCUUGGUCAACAGUUUAGAACUUGAUGGGAAGAAAAUUGUGGUUCGACCAUAAGAGACCGAUAAGAACAAGUGUGACAAUAUCGUGAUCAAUAACCCUCAGGUGAUCGAUGAAAAAGCAAGGACCUUGGCUAUGAAGGUGAUUGUAUAGAAAAAUUUGGAUGGACAAGAAGCCAUCAAGACCACCAUCAAGUCUACCGGUGUUGGGGGGCAAGACAUAACAAGAAUCUGACAGAGCUCUCCAAGCCGGCGUACACCGAACAAUUUGGUGCUUAGCGCUAGCAGUCUGGUACUAUCAGCAACAAAACGAAGACCCACAGGAUAAAAGUAGAAGGCCCCAGAAGCAAAACCAGCCUAAGGCUUUUAGCAAGUUUUCUAAAUCGGGUCUUACGUUCGAUCGAUUUCUUUCAAAAUAUAUGAAUAAGAAGGUCGUUCCGCAUAAUCUGCUAGCAAAAUGAUCAAAGUCAUCCGCAAGAAAGAAGUAAUAUGUACAGGGGCAAAGACUGACUAUACCAGCCCGAGAAGUGCCUCAACUAGCAUCGCCUGCUCAUCAGUCUCCAGGGAUGUUGUGUUACUUUUACUCGUCUACUCAUCGCCGAUGUUUUAACCGGCUCAAGCGUGGAAAAGUGUGAUAAUGAAUCUAUAUUACAUGCAUAGCCCAUUUGAUUAUUCGUGCUAGCGGGCAUCACAAUUUUGUGCUUUUGGCAUAUUAAUUAGAUGGUCAUGACCAAUAGAGAUGUAUCUAAAACAACCUUUAUGCAUUGGAGCUUUGUUGAAUGGCUAUGCUAUUUAGAAGAGCUAAUGACUUGCAUCAAGCUAAAUUGCUAAUUUCAGGAGUAAAACGAAUUAUCAAAUAUGUUGUUUCUCGAAAGAUGUUGGUGGUACAAGUGCUUUUGGUUCAUGACCCGCACCAAAAGGCAGGAGGACAUAUGUUAAACACCAAAACUGACAAUAUUGGUACUAUCGAACUGUUCAACCCUGCGAACAGUCUAGCAUAAUAGCCUAGAAAGUCUGCGCCCUGAACAGUCUGGCGUGUUAGCCCGAAUAGUCCAGGAUUAGAUCUGUUCGGGCUAGAGUCCUAAUUUUUUGUUAGAUUCUUCAGAUAUCUCACGGGAUUUUAUUGGAGUUUGCCUAAGAAAGGGGCCAGACCUCCCCCUAUAUAUAUGAGAGAACAAAAUCAUAUGAAACACCACCAAUCGAAUCAACAGUUAUCUUGUAUUUACUUUCUCAUUCUUAGAUUAGAUGUAGUUUAAGCCCUAAUUGUAGCUUUCCAAUCCCUGAUCUUCACCUCUCUUCGACUUUAUGUCGACUUAGGGCGCUUUGGGUGGGUGGCCGAUUACGAAGCAACCCUAGAAUCCCUCGUCGCCGCAAAUACGUGUCAAAUAGUCUGCCAGCCAGGGCCAGACAGUCCGCCAACCUGCAAAGAGGCUCUAAAGUCCUACAUGCUGGCCCUGGGAUGAUACAUGAAUGUAACACCCUAAAAUUGAGGGUAUAAAUUUUCUUCUCUAAUAUUCACCAAAAUAUAGGUGUUACCUUCUUUCUCCUCUUCCUCUUUGCUCCUUUCUUUUUUCAAAGUGGUAGAGGGAUUUAUUUUGAAUUCAUGAAUCAAGAAAAUCCUAAGGAAGUCGUGUGAUGUUGCACCAUGUUGAAGCACAUAUUUUAUUUUGCUUGCUGCACAUGUUUGAAAUGCAUUCAUCUUGUUCUGAGUUCACGCUCGAGUUUGGAAGUUGGAUAGAAAAGAAAGGAAUAAAAAGAGAAAAAUAGAAAAAGGCCAACCCCCACCUAAAUUUUCCCAGCUAGCCUAGCUCGCCCCUCCUGUGGCCCGCCCCACGCCCCUUCCCCCCAGUCGUGGCCCACCUGACAGCUCGCCCACGGCCCAGCCACACCGUGCCCUCGCGAGCGCACUGUGUGAACACACCCUGCCAUGUCGCCACCGCCUGGCCUAUGGGCAUCGCACGUCAUGGGUGUCUUCCUCAAAUCGCCAUCCCACCUCGGUCGACUAUGACCUCGGGGUUUUUAGCAACUGCACCCACGCCUCGAUUCAAUAGCCCUUGCAUCCCCUCCACUUUUUCCCCUACCGCGUCCCUCACCCACGUCCGAAACCGCCAUCUCCUCGCCCAUCUGGAGCGUCGUCGUCUCUCUGCUUCACUGUCCGAGCCUCGCCUGCGCUGAGUUUGCGACGCUGUCCACUGGAGGAGCCCUGCGUCGUGCCCUCAGCUGAGGUGAGAAUCAACGUUGUCUAACUCGCCAUCUCCCUCUAUUCUUUAUGCCCGGUGUGGCCAUGGCACCUACCCCUGGCGUGGCGAGCCCGCCCUCAUGGUGGCCAAGCUCGCCCCUGCACGCCAAACCCCCUGCGCGCCAACGCUUACCGCGACUGAUAGUCGCCUAGAGGGAGGUGAAUAGGCGAAACCUGAAAUUUACAACUUUAAACAACACUUGAUCCCCUAGUUAGCGAUUAGAACAAGAUGAACAAUAAUUGGAGUAUAGAACUAAGUCAUAUUCCUACAGAAGUGUUGCUUUCAAAGAAUGCGUAAUAAACUCAAAGAAACACAACUAAAUAUCUAUGAUGAUUAGAACAAGAAUACUUAGUUAGGAAGGGAAACAACACAAGUUCUUUCUUGCAAGGAGUUCCUUCUAUAUAUCAGAAUUUAACAUGAAGCAACACAAAGUAAUAUUAACAAAGAAUAACGCAAGAAAACUUAAAGAGGGAGAAGACAAACAAAUCACAAGCAAUAAUCACAAGAGACACAGAUGAUUUGUAUUACCGAGGUUCGGUUCACCAAGAACCUAAUCCUCGUUGAGGAGUCCACAAAGGAUGGGUCUUUUUCAAUCCUUUCCCUCUCUCCAAUGAUCACCAAGACCAGCGAGUGUUCCUUCUGUUGUUUACUUGUUCUCGAUUGCUAUAUACAACCAAAACAAGGCAACACAAUGUUAAAAAGAUAAUCAACCUUCGUCCUCGAGGAGUUAUCCCUCCAGGAUAAUUCCUUCGAAGAUGAAGGUUAAGACUUAAUCGAGUAAAUCAAGUCUUAAUUGCGUGAACAAGUAAAUAUGUAAAAAAUGUAAAGGAGUUUAAACAUGAUAAAUCAUCUCAGAUAUAUCAAUAUCACAUUUCUCCUCUUUCGUAUAAUGAAUUUAUAAUUGUACCUUCGGCUUUACAGAGUGAGUUAGAAUGAAUGUGCUAUGGAAAAGAGAUUACACACAGGAAUUAUCUAGCCCUCCAAAAGGUACUUUAUGCAGGGCACUGUUCAUCUAUUUAUAGGGAAUCCUACAACUUCAUACCCUUAUGGAUUACACACAGAAUUUACAAAUAAUACAAGGGCAACAUUGUCUUUUGCCUUCAGCAUUCAGGAUGACACCUUCUUCUUACAUCAUCUUCAUGUGUUGUGAUGAUGAAGCUUACAUCGUUAUCGUUCCACUGUUCCACACCGAAGGUAGUCUGAUGCUGAAGCUCCUAUAAUGCUUGACAAAUAUGUUGACAACCAAUGGUUAACCGUGUUUUUGAGGACCUUCAAAAGAUGAAGGCCCCCAACAGUAGCCCCUCGCGGUAUUAGAUUGUUUCUUUGUAACAAACUCAGACUGUGAAAUGAACGAAGGCCUUAUACCGAAGGUCCGGAAAAACACCUUCCCUUCGCUAGAAUAGCGAAACCUUUUGAAUUGUGGGAGCCACUUUGCAGUGGUGUUUUGUCUAUAUAUAUGAGGGUUGUGACAAAAUAUUUUUCGUACUACCGACUUAAGCUGGUUUGUUUUGAGCUAUUGCUAUUGCAUUCAUUUUCUAGCUUCGGCUUUUCGCUUAAUCAAAGUUGAGAUGGCAAAAGAUAGGAGGAGAGAAGACCCUGCAUUGGCUAGGUUUUAUGAAGAUAUGGAAAGAACAAAUUCCGAGAAAAUAACCAGCGAAAUUCUUGCUAGACUGUCUGAAGAUUUUGAGGGCAGUGAUGAUUUUGAUGUUGAUAGCGGUGCGGAUGAUGCCGAAGAUCGGCCAUGGAGGCCAAGCCAUGUUGUCUUCGGAAAAUCUACUGUCAAUAAAGGACAAAUUGAGACAAUGAAGGGAAAAUAUUUUCAUGAUAUAUCUGUAGUGCGAGUCGGAGGGGAGAACAUUGUUUCUCUUCCUGAGGCAGACGAAGUGGUGGUUUUUCCAAUGUUUCAUAAAGGAUGGGCUACGCUUUCCCCUGUACAAAAUGUUAGUUGAAGUGUUGAAGAGAUUUCAGAUAUUCCUUCAUCAACUUACUCCCGAAGCUUUAAUUAAAGUUGGAGUUUUUAUCUUGUUAAUGAGGAGCCAAGGGCUGGAGCCAGAUGUCGACUGCUUCUGCAAUAUCCACGAACUAUCCUAUCAGACAAAGGCAGUUGGAAAGGAACAAUAUCACAACAUUUUUUGGCUGCUAUUACUUCUCAUACCACGCGAGACACCCUGUUCCAACCUUUCAGAAAAAUGGCCUGGAUCCUGGAUGAAGUAGUGGUUUUAUGUUAAAUAUAACUUGGCUGGGAGGGAGGAUGUUAAGGAUGUGAUUCAAUGACCCAUUCAAUUACACUUCGACAUUAGGAGGCCUAGAUGUUUGGUAGCCUUCAACACCGUGUGCAGCUACAUCGGUUUCAGAGAUUUGACACAAGAACAUCUAGCUUUCAAGGUAUGGCCUCUUGCUAGCAAGUGGGAAAUGCUGAAGGAAACCGACACCAGCUCAAGCGAAGGUGGUCAUGUGUAUCUAAAAUAUACUUACCACUAUAUGGAUAAGUUUGGUGAACUGGAUGAUGAUUGGCUUGAGGCCAUUGAAGCAACUAGUGACGAGUUGUUAGGGGUAUACACCAAGGCUGAAGACGAAGCUAUGAAUACUGCCUUUGGUGCUCGGGGUAAAAGAAGGUCAAAUAGGGUAUUUGAUGUUAUUGGAUUUGUAUAUCCAGAUUAUACCUUUCCUACUCGGAAAAGGGGAGUUAAAAGGAAAGCUGCAAUUGCAACAACCUCCACGACGUUGAAACAAAAGAGAGUCAAAGUUUUAACCCACCGACCGAAGUCGUACUACUAAGAACGAGCUGCAAGACUACCUGCUGCUGAAACCUCUAAAGCAGAAGCCGCCGAAGAAGUUGAAGAGGCCACUUCAGCUCCGAAGGUAAUGUUUUCUUUUUCUAUGAUUUGAAUCAAGGCACUACUGAUUUAAUGUUACUUUUGGAAUUUUUGGGUAGGUGAUGAAAAGGAAUCGAGGCAACCGCUGUGAGUGCCCUGCCACCCAUUCAUUUGGAAUCAACUUCAGAAAAGGGCCACGCUGUGAAAGAACAUCCAAAGACCCAAGAUCUGCCAAAGGUGCUAGAGCCAUCAAAGAUAUUAUCCGUUCUAGCGAGAACUCCGAGGAAAGGCAAAAUAAUGGCCAACGUGAUAGACGCUGUUCUGAGGCCCUUAAAGAUGGCGACGCCUGCUCCCCCAAAGUUUCCAAAGACAAAGUUGAGGAAUUGAAAAUGACUACUGACAAAGCUGUUUCUCCUAACUUAAGUAAGGCUGGACCUUCAGAAUCCAAUCCAUUAGAUCAUAAAUUUGAAAGCCUGCCAGAGAGAAUAGCACUGCCAAUACUCAAAGCAGCGCCUCUUGGAGAUCUUGGAUACAUUGUUCGCCAUGCUUCGGGGAAACAAUUAACGGAACAAUAAAUUGCCGAAGUGCAACAUUAUGCAAGAGACUUGAGGUAUCCUCGAGGCUCUUUGGUGUAUGGGGGCAAUGAUGAAGAUGAUUACCUGUACUACCUACCAGAUAAUAAAGAGAUUGAUGUUUGUCGAGAGAUGAUGGAUAACAUGGGUUAUCCGAAACUUGAACUUGGAUUAUCCGCAAUGCCCAAGGAUCACCUUGCGAAUUGCUUAGCUUACAACAACUUGAAGGUUUCCAUAUUUUACUUUUUCUUCCAAUUUUGCAGAAUGUUUAUCCAUAGUACUUACUAUUUAUUUGUGAUUAUUUUUUAUUAGGGACUGUUGGGGUUGUGCUUCGGUGCGCCGAAGGUCUCACACGAAGAAACAGCUUCGGCUGAAGUCGUCUCCAAGAGAUGGCCGAAGGUCCCUUUUCAUGGAGCUUCGGCGUUUUAAACCGACAUAGAGAUAGAAUGACCUUUUUAUACAUAUAGGUCUGAGUCAAUACUGUAAACUUUCGCAAGGGACAUAAUUGUAAUUUGUCACAGGCUGCGACCUGUGCCUAUAAAUAGAUGAACAGUACCUCUGUACUGUUCACGUGAACCUGUCAUUUGCUUUUGCAUUACGCUUGUACUUCUGCCUUCCGCAGGACUGAAGGUACAUUUGUAAAUCAAAGUCAUUUAUAUUCAUUAAUACAAGUAUAGAUAAUUCUAUGACAAUAUUUAAAUGUUUAUUCCAUGAUUUAUGUGAAUGCUCCAUUCUUCGUUGUUAUGCUUACGAAGGUAUGUCCUUCGUAACCUUCGUCCGAGAUGCUUUAUAUCCCGAAGGGAUAUAUCGUUAUGGAGGACGAAGGACCUCAACACUUAACAUUUUUUGUGUUGCCUUGUUCUUAAUUCUUAGCAUUUGAGAACAAGUCCCCAACAUUGGCGCCCACCUCCGGUCAACUCACUUCCACCUUUCUGAGCUGAUGGCUUCGUUCAACACUCAAGCUGGAGCUGCUUCGGCUUCGAAGCUGGUGCUCCCGAUAACAGGCGGUUCUUGCUCAGAGCCAGCCAACAAAAAGCAGAAGAAGGAGGCUCAGAGAAGGGUGCAGCAUGUUGGAGUGCAGGGACCCUUUAUUAAGUCAAAAUGGUCUCACAUUCCAAUUACCUUCUCUCAGGAAGAUCUUCAGCUCAAGGACUAUCCUCACAAUGAUGCUAUGGUCAUUUCUUGUGUGAUCAAAGGGUUUCUGGUUCACAAUGUCCUAGUUGACACAGGCAGUGCAGCUGACAUUAUAUUUGCCAAAGCCUUCAGACAGAUGCAGGAGCCUGAAGACAAGAUUCAUGAUGCUACGCACCCUCUUUGUGGCUUCGGAGGGCGGCAGAUUGUGGCACUCGGGAAGAUUACCAUGCCGGUAACCUUCGGAUUUGUUAAUAACACAAGGACUGAGCAAAUUGUGUUUGAUAUUGUUGACAUGGAAUACCCCUACAACGCCAUCAUUGGUCGUGGCACCCUAAAUGCUUUUGAAGCAAUUCUUCACCCAGCUUAUCUCUGCAUGAAGAUACCUUCGGACCAAGGGCCUAUUGCUAUUCAUGGGAGUCAGGAAGCUGCCAGAAGGGCCGAAGGAAGCUGGACUGAUUCCAAGGCAAUUCAUAAUAUAGAUGGAGUUGAAGCUUGUGAACAGUACAAGUUCAGGAGGGAAAAAGCAGCUUCGGCUGAUCAGCCGAAGCCCAUGCUGCUGUGUGAGGAUAUAGCAGAGCAGAAGGUGCUAUUGGGCUCGCAAUUAUCUGAAGAUCAAGAGAAAACCUUGAUAAGGUUUCUAUUCAACAAUAAAGAUGUUUUUGCAUGGUCAGCCAACGAUCUUUGUGGAGUGAAUCGGGAUGUUAUUGAACAUUCGCUCAAUAUUGACCCAUCCUUCAGACCCCGCAAGCAGAGGCUUCGGAAAAUGUCUGAUGACAAGGCCGAAGGGGCUCGCAACGAAGUAAAAAGACUCCUAAGUGCAGGAGUUAUCAGAGAAGUCAAGUAUCCAGAAUGGCUAGCUAACACUGUUAUGGUGAAGAAGGCCAAUGGAAAGUGGAGAAUGUGUAUUGAUUUCACAGAUCUCAACAAAGCUUGUCCGAAAGAUGAGUUCCCGCUGCCAAGGAUAGACUCUUUAGUUGAUGCAGCAGCUUCUUCGGAACUCAUGAGUCUCCUGGAUUGUUACUCAGGCUAUCAUCAAAUCUGGAUGAAAAAGGAGGAUGAGCCGAAGACUAGUUUCAUAACCCCAAGUGGUACAUAUUGCUAUCUUCGGAUGCCUGAGGGGCUUAAGAAUGCUGGAGGGAGUUUCAGCAGGAUGACUGCGAAGGUUCUCCAAUCUCAGAUAGGCAGAAAUGUGUUGACCUAUGUUGAUGACAUUAUUGUAAAAAGCACGAAGCAAGAAGACCAUAUUGCUGAUCUGCAGGAGACCUUCGCCAGCUUCAGACAAGCUGGUCUGAAGCUGAAUCCAGAAAAAUGUGUCUUCGGAGUGAAGAAGGGUAAGUUCCUUGGAUGCUUGGUUUCAACAAAGGGAAUUGAAGCUAACCCAAAUAAAAUCGAAGCUAUACUUCGAAUGGAACCACCAACCACAAGAAAGGGGGCCCAAAGAUUGACAGGAAGACUGGCUUCUCUUAACAGAUUUAUAUCCAGAUCAGCGGAAAGAAAUCUACCCUUCUUCGAGGUGCUAAAAUCAGCUGAAGUCUUUCAAUGGGGCCCAGCUCAACAAAAAGCUUUCGAAGAACUGAAGCAAUACCUGAUAGAUCUAACAACAUUAACUCCACCAGUGCCAGGGGCUCCUCUGUUGUUGUAUGUGGCAGCUUCGCACUCAGCAGUAAGUGCGGCACUUGUGCAGGAGAAGUUUGAUGGACAAAUCAAGAAGCAGGUCCCAGUAUAUUUUGUAUCUGAGGUCCUUAGUGUCUCAAAGAAAAAUUAUACAGAACUGGAGAAGGUGUUGUAUGCCGUUCUAAUGGCAUCCAGGAAGCUUCGGCAUUAUUUUCAGGCAUAUAAUAUUAUUGUUCCUUCUUCGCAGCCGUUGAAAGAUAUCAUGAGAAAUAAAGAAGCUACUGGUCGAAUUGGAAAAUGGGCUGCGGAGCUUAAUGAAUUUUACAUUGAUUAUGUGCACAGAUCCUCGAUCCAAUCUCAAGCUUUGGCAGAUUUUAUUGCCGACUGGACGCCAGGGGCUCAGGGUGAAGAAGCGAAUAAAGAUGCCGAAGCAUGGACAGUGUUUUGUGAUGGCUCCUGGGGAACCUUCGGAGCAGGAGCAGCUGCUGUUUUGGUUUCACCGUCCAAGGUUAAAACUUGCUACGCAGCAAGACUGGAUUUCAGCUGCACAAAUAAUAUUGCUGAGUACGAAGCCUUGCUCCUGGGUCUUCGGAAACUAAAGGCGAUGGGGAUCAGGAGGGCGAUCCUUAAAACUGAUUCUCAGAUUGUUUCGGGUCAUAUUGACAAAAGUUGCAAGGCUAAAGACCCGAAGCUUGAAAAAUACCUAGACACAGUCCGAAGGAUCGAAGCUUCCUUCGAAGGAUUUUCUGUUAAGAAUAUCCCUCGAGGACAAAAUGAGCAUGCUGAUUUGUUAGCCAGGUCUGCAGCACAGGGGCUGCCGCUACCUUCGGAUGUAUUCUUCGAAACAAUAAAGGCACCUUCGGUGGAGUUACUUGAAAGAGCAGUUCUUACUAUUUCCCCUGUGUACAGUGAAGAUUGGAGAACUGAAAUAAUUUCUUACCUUCAGGGCAACUUCCUAUCAGAUGACGAAGCUUAUAAUAAAAGAAUAGAGGCAAGAGCUCGUCCGUAUAUCAUUAUAGAAGGGGAGUUAUACAAGCAUGGAGUUUGUGCCCCGCUGCUCAAGUGCUUGUCUAGAGCCGAAGGUAUAGAAUUGAUGAAGGAGAUACAUGCAGGCCUUUGUGGAUCCCACAUCGGAUCCAGGCCGUUACUUGGAAAAGUGUUCCGUCAAGGAUUUUAUUGGCCGAAGGCAGCUUCGGAUGCAGCUGAGUUAGUUCAAAAGUGCGAAGGUUGUCAGAAAUGUGCAAGAGAUCAAAAACAACCUUCGUCUUUGACACAGCUAAUACAACCCAUCUGGCCAUUGCAAAGGUGGGGCCUCGAUCUGCUGGGCCCAUUACCACCGGCUCAGGGCAAUCUGAAAUAUGUUGUAGUUGCUGUGGAAUAUUUUUCCAAGUGGAUUGAGGCGAAGCCAUUAGCUACAAUAACUUCGGCCACUGUCCAAAAAUUUUUCUGGCAGAAUAUUGUCUGUCGCUUCGGAGUGCCGAAGGCUAUAACUGUAGAUAACGGAACACAAUUUGACUCCGAAGAAUUCAGGAAUUUUUGUGAUCAAAUUGGCACGAAGAUCCACUUUGCAUCAGUCAGGCACCCGGAGUCAAAUGGGCUUGUUGAAAGGGCCAACGGCAUCAUAAUGACAGGAAUAAUGAAGCUAAUCUUCAAUCAACCAAGGGGAAAGUGGCCAGAUCAGCUUACCAAAGUGGUAUGGAGCCAUAACACAACAGCAUCAAGAUCUACAGGCUUUACCCCAUUUAAGUUGUUAUUUGGUGACGAAGCAAUAACCCCGGAAGAGGCCAAAGCUGGAUCAAUAAGAGUGGUAGCUUCGGCAGAAUCAGGUUCCGAAGAUACUUGUCUCGUGGAAAAAGAUGCCUUAGAAGGGAUCAGGCUCCAGGCCGUGGAGAAUAUCAAUAAGUACCAGGCUGAAACAGUUAAAUGGCGAGAUAGAAAGGUCCGGCUAAAAAAUAUUGAGCCAGGACACUUGGUGCUUCGGAGAGUGGCCAAUCCGGAUACAGUGGGCAAAUUGCAACUGAAAUGGGAAGGGCCUUUCUUAGUAGCAUCUUCGUCAAGGCCUGGUUCGUACAGACUGAAGGACAUGGAUGGCAAUGAAAUUCCAAGAUCUUGGAAUGCGGAUGAGCUUCGGCGGUUUUAUGUAUAACUCGAUGUAAUUUUGACUUUUCUUUUCUUUUUCAUGGCACCCUUUUCCUUUCUAAAGGGGGAGAAAGGUUUUUAAUGGGGCCAUCACAUGUAAUUUUUCUUUUUAGUUUAUAAGAGCAAAAUCCCCCAAAGAUGUACAUGUAAAAGCUGAGAGCGCACCAUCGAGUGCCGAAACUGAAAAAGAGAAAAAGCUCCGAAGACGUCCCUAAGGGGAUGCAGAGCUUACAGCGAAAAGUCAACGCUGAUUCCGCCGAAAGUAAAAGGCGAAGAAGCUCCAAAGACGUUCCCAAGGGAAUGCAGAGCUUAUACCGUCUAAGUAAAAGACGAAGAAGCUCCAAAGACGUCCCUAAGGGGAUGCAGAGCUUACAGCGAAAAGUCAACGCUGAUAUUGCCUAAGUAAGAGGCGAAGAAGCUCCAAAGUCGUUCCUAAGGGAAUGCAGAGCUAAUGUGUGGUUGUUUCCAAGUAAUGGCUGACGAUAUGGCUUCGGACAUAUGCUUCGGACAUAUGCUUCGGACUUUCAUUCGUGCAUUACAUUACAUCAUAACAUUCGCAUGCAUAAGCAUUCAUUCAUAGCAUUUGUGUUCCCAAGUGGCUGCUUCGGCAAAAAAGCUUCGGAGAAGUGCCUUUUUAUAACUUGUUACGCUAUGUUGUGUGCGAAAGUGAAAAGUUCCGUUGCUUUGGCACAAAGAAAAGUUUCAGUAUAAGGGAGAAAUGGAUUUUUAUGAAUCGUUGUGUAAAAGAGAAGUAGUCUUUUAUGUCUUGCUAUGUAAAAGCUUCGGCAGAAAGAAGAAGUAGUCUUUUAUGUCUUGCUAUGUAAAAGCUUCGGCAGAAAGAAGAAGUAGUCUUUUAUGUCUUGCUAUGUAAAAGCUUCGGCAGAAAGAAGAAGUAGUCUUUUAUGUCUUGCUAUGUAAAAGCUUCGGCAGAAAGAAGAAGUAGUCUUUUAUGUCUUGCUAUGUAAAAGCUUCGACAGAAAGAAGAAGUAGUUUUUAUGUUCUACUAUGUGAAGAAAAGCUUUGGCAAAAAGAGGAAGCGACCGUUUAGGCUUCGUUGUGUACGAAAAGAAGGGAAGGUGUUUUUUCGCCUUCGGCUCAAAAUACUGAUUUCGUCCACAUCAAAGCGACUCAAUCGAAGGGUAAGGAUAUAUUACAAGGUAUGUACAAAGUUCCUUGAGAACAGUUCAAUUGUAUUCACAAAACUUGUUACAAAAGUAUCCUGAGUUUUUUCCUAUAGUACAUUUCUACUGAUCUUCAUUAAGCUUCAGCUUCGGCGACAGUUUCGGCGACAUAACUUAGACAUCAUCUUCACCUUCGUCAUCCUACAUAAAUCAAGGAAUCGUGAGUAAAAAUCAAGUGCAAAGAAAAAGGUAAGUACGAAGUAUUAUCUCUUACUGGUUCAAGAUGGCUUCGUGCUUCAUCUCCAGCCUUCUCCCGCCCGCCUUUUGUCCAUAUCAUUUUUAUAAAUCUGUUGGAGAUACUUCGGGCAAGGUCAGGCAUAUCAUCUAGGAUUGAUGGAGAUAAGGCGAAGUUGGGCCUGUUAACAACUUUUCCAUGUUCACAGCCAGCCUUCAUGAAGGCUGCAGCAGUCCCUCGAGAAGCUACCCAGGCACAGAAAUCACCAUGCCCAGCUAUGACUUCGUCGAGCUCGUCAAUUUCCCCCUCAAUGUGCUCGAAGGUUUGUGGUAGGUCUUCAGCUGAGGGGGUAAAUUUUUCGCUGCUAGCUCCAACCGAAUGAAAAAUCUUUCUCAGUCGCUGAAUGCACUUCUUGCUAAAUUCUAGGCAUUUUUCUUGAAGAUUUGUCAGUAAUUUUCUCAAAUCCGAAUUUUGCUGAGCUUCGGCUUCAAGUUUUGCAUUGAGAUCUUGUUUUUCUUGUUCGAACUGCUCAGACUGGCGGAGAAGCUUCGUGUUCAGUUCUAAUAUUUUUGCUUCAGCUUCCGCCAGUAAACCUUCGGCUGCCUGGAGUUCGAAGCUCUUUUUCUCAAAAGCAUCUGAUUGUUCCUUUAUUUUGUUUUCCAAAUUUUCAAUUAUAACUUCAUGCUUUUUAUCUUCAAGAUCCUGCUGCAUUUGCAAGGCCUUGCUCAAUAGCAUACUCUACACAAACACAACCUUCAUCAGACAUGUUUUUGUUAGGAGCAAUAAAAGUUAGGGGACAAGUCAUUUACCUUGAAGUUGGAGUAAAACAAACUACCAACGACAUGCUGUCGUCGGUAGCGGCUGAUAUCUGCUUCUAGCUUCGGAAAUCCAAUACUCUUGGACAGAGUACUAAUAACUCUGGCCCCUGUUUGGUCCCGAAUACACUUUAACUUCUCAUCAUCAAUACCUCCGAAGAGGAGUGCCCCAGGUUUGUAUCCGCAGGAUUGGGCAUACUCUGUAAGCUCUUCUAUUUCAGCUUGUGUUAGAUGUUCUCCAACUAAGUUUUGAAACGCGAAGGUUUCGUUUUUUGAAGCUUCGUCAGCAAUUUCUUUUCCUUUCUUUGACGCUACGGUCACAGUUUCUCCGACAGCAGUAGCAGCUUCUUCUGCAGCCAUGCCUAGCAGCAUUUGGUCAAUAUGUUCAAUUGUGCUCUCUAAAUUAAAAUCUUCAGCCGAGGUAGCUUCGGCGGCUGCGGCCUCCGAAGGUGCAAUUUCAAUAUCUGCUCCCUCUGCAGCCGCUCGUGUUUUUUGGGCCGAAGCUCUUGGCGGCGUUUUGUCAAUUACCUCUGUCACGGUAAUGAUUCUUUGUUUUUUCGCCUUGAUUGUUUUCCUUGAUUUCUCGGGCUCCUUGUCCUUCUGAAAAAACUUUGUCAGUUGAGGACCUAGUGGACUUAGCUUCGCAGGUAAGGAUUCAGUCAUUACCUUCAGAAUUUCCCCAACAACAGCAGCAGAAGGCGAUGCGGGGGGUUCUUCUGCUUCGGAUGUUUGUGGCUUCGGAGAAGAAGCUUUCUUUUUCUUCUGAAUUUUCUUCUUUAUUGGUUCUUUUUCACCUUCAUCUAAGGCUUCAGUUGCCAUUUUCCUUUUUUGGCCCCUGGCACCUUUGUUCAGCUCUUCGUAGUCUGGGUAUUCGAAGCCCAGGGCGUCCAAUACUCGAUUCAGCCUUCGUUUUGGACGGCUGCCGAAGGCUGCAGUCAUCAAUUGAUCUUCUUUCUUGGAAUAAUUACCAAGUAUUUCGUUGCACAUCACUUCAAUCGUAUCUAGCCACUCUUGGCAAGGAGUUUUAAAGAAUUUCUUAAAUUUGAAGUAGUAAGGCAAGCGUACAAGUUCACCCUUUUUCUUUUCCCCCUCCAGCUUCGGCAUUUCCCACUCUUUUACACUAGGGAAAACUUUGAAAGCCAAGAAUUCCUGGACCAGGUCCCUUGUACUGAUAUUUUCUGCAAUUAUUUUGAAUUCAUACAUUGCUUUUUGAGUUGCACCUUCUGGUAACAUGUGGCACUGGGGGCGGGUUUCUCCGAAGGUCAGUUCCAGUGGGCUUUGCACAAGCUUCUCUUUAUCAUCAUCAACCUUAACAUAGAACCAUUCCGAUUUCCACCCUGCUGCCCAUUUGCUUCGGUAGCUAAUCACAGGACACUUUGAAGUUUUCCGAUAAGCAAAAUUAUAGCAACCAAAGUUGUCAUGUAAUCCAUCUUUUCUAGCCUUUGUCUGAUAGUGCAGUUCAUGAACUCGGCAAAAGCUGUCCGCAAACGGUUCCACCGCCUGGCUUCGGAGUGCCCAAAUAUAAACACUAAGCCUAACGAUAGCGUUAGGGGUUAGCUGGUGAAAGUAGAUUCCAAAAUUAUUCAAUAUCUCUGCAAUAAUCCCAUGAAGGGGGAAUCUCAACCCAGCCUUUAAGAAGCUUUUAAAAAUAACAAUUUCAUCUUUCUCCGGCUUUGGGGUAGUGUCUUCUCCUCCGAAGCGUAGUAACUUCUUUUGAUUUUCAGUAAAAUAGCCUGACUUUACCAUCUUGGACAAGUCAGCCUUCGAAACAGUAGAUUUCCCGAAGUCCAAAUGGCUGGGUUUGCUUGGUGUGGCAAGGUGAUAAUCAUCUUCGGAGUCUGUUUCCUCAGCUUCUUCUCCUUCUGCUUCAGCGAUUGCUUGUUCUGCAUCUUCAGUAGGAAUCUUUUCCGAAAUCACCAGCCCGGACCGUUGCAUGGCUUCGGAGAUAGGGACGGUCUCCGAAGCUCCAGUUUCCUCCCCCUCGCGUUCAAUCCUAGCAGUAGAACGGAUUCUGGCCAUUUAACUAUGAACUUGUGAAACGUUAAUACUUUUUUCUCCGAAGCAGGUUUCAAGAUGGAGCUUCGUUCAAUUCUGACAAACAAGCUUCGGCGAUGGUUAAAAAUUUUGGCAGCAAAACAGUGCAAAUAGCAAUGAAUGCUGUGGUAACUUCACAACUACUUGUCAGUUUAUAUAGUGCUGCAGGUAAGAAGGCGAAGCGGCGGAAUUGUUACACCAGGCGCGCAGUAACUUGUACUCGCUGCGCAGUGGGCCGCAAGGAUCAAACAGUGACUCUGCAAGGUGGGACCGACACGCGCUCGGAAGUCGGAUCGUUUCUCCGCAACGAGCUCAGGGAAGGUGUUUUUUGGACCUUCGGCUUCCCGAAGCUGAAGAGGCUUUUUUCACGGGUCAAGCUCGUUACGAAGAACGAUCUAGCACCGCGAAAGGGGCUACUGUUGGGGUUGUGCUUCGGUGCGCCGAAGGUCUCACACGAAGAAACAGCUUCGGCUGAAGUCGUCUCCAAGAGAUGGCCGAAGGUCCCUUUUCAUGGAGCUUCGGCGUUUUAAACCGACAUAGAGAUAGAAUGACCUUUUUAUACAUAUAGGUCUGAGUCAAUACUGUAAACUUUCGCAAGGGACAUAAUUGUAAUUUGUCACAGGCUGCGACCUGUGCCUAUAAAUAGAUGAACAGUACCUCUGUACUGUUCACGUGAACCUGUCAUUUGCUUUUGCAUUACGCUUGUACUUCUGCCUUCCGCAGGACUGAAGGUACAUUUGUAAAUCAAAGUCAUUUAUAUUCAUUAAUACAAGUAUAGAUAAUUCUAUGACAAUAUUUAAAUGUUUAUUCCAUGAUUUAUGUGAAUGCUCCAUUCUUCGUUGUUAUGCUUACGAAGGUAUGUCCUUCGUAACCUUCGUCCGAGAUGCUUUAUAUCCCGAAGGGAUAUAUCGUUAUGGAGGACGAAGGACCUCAACACUUAACAUUUUUUGUGUUGCCUUGUUCUUAAUUCUUAGCAUUUGAGAACAAGUCCCCAACAGGGACUUAUCCUUAGCAAAGUUUUAAAGGCACAGAAAGGUGCCGAAGAUGAAAGCACCCGGAUAGCCUUCAGAAAUAUGUGAUCCGAAGUUAUUGAUCUUCGGCAUCAAGCCAUUGAAAAAAGACAAAAUUCUUCUUCCAUAAUUGAAAAGCUAUAGAAAAGACAAACUGAUUUGGCUCGAUUCUCUGAGGCAGACGAAAGAAUCUCGAAGCUUGAAAGGGAGAAAAAAAGAUGAUGCAAAGCACAUAGCUGACUUGGAAUAUGCUUUAUCUGCGCAAGUGGACCUUCAUAAGUCCGAAGUACUAAGGUUAGAGAAGAAUCUUGAUGAAGUUAACGAGAAUUUUGAUGUUGAAAAAGCGAAACGUGAAAUAGCUGAGACUGAGCAGAAUAGGGUCCAAAAGAAUAAUGAAGAGCUUCGUUAGUCGAAAGAAGGUUUUUCUAUUUCUAUGCAAUGUUGCAAUAAGCUGAAGAGCAUGUUUGCCAAGCUUAGUGCAUUCUCGAACGAACAAAAUUUUAUUCGCGGCGAUCCCGAAGGGGUGAUUAGGUGGAUAGAGGGUGAAGUCGAGGCUUUUGACGAAGUCCUCACUGGUAGAGGAGAUUUCUGUGCUUGUGUGGGUGCCUGAGGGGUUGUAUCAUUGCUUGAAAAAGUUGGUUGUGAACAUGUGAAGUCUGUAAUCAGCUAGAAUUUACAGUUUCGGCAGACGACAUCAAGGAACAUUUAGCUGAAGCUAUUGCCCUAGGUGGGAAAUUUUACUCUGAGGUCUGGGUGAACGGCGGAAGGGAGGUAGCGGACAAAGCUAUUUGACAAAGCGAAGAAGAGGUUAUUUUCGAUUCUAAAAUAUUUAUUACUCGAAUUUAUAGUUUAAUUUUUUGAUCAAUUCACACUUUGGCUUUUUAGACCCAUCGCACUUCAGAAGAGGCAAAGAGGUCUGAAGAAGCUGCAGAACGAGAAAGACGUAUAGGUAUAUGCUUCUGUUGAGCUUUAACUUCGUAACUAUUUAGCUUCGUACUUCUUAACGGAACGAUGUCUUCGUGCAGCGGAACUUUCUCCACCCCCAGAACCGUAUGAUUCGGAAGCUGAUCCAGCACUAAGGGGAAUCCUUGGUGAAUUCAAGGUGGUGAACGCAUCGAUAGACGAAGCUGUUAAUACUUUGCUAAACGAAGCUGCUGAGAAGGUUUUGAAAGAAGACGAUUGAACUAUUGUAAAGACUUCUCUAAUUUUGUGUUUAGUAAACAUGUAAAAACAUUCGAAAGCUUGUGUUUUGUUCUAUGUAAAUACAACUGUGUGUUGCGCUCAAUUGCAUUGAGCAGCAUAUUUCUUUGUGCAGCGUGAAAUCAAUGUACAUACCGUUUUUGAGCCGAAGGCGAAAAAACACCUUCCCUUCUUUUCACGCUUCAUAAAGAAAAAGUCAUUUUCAGUUGACGGUCUUGUAAGUUCAUAUAUAAUUCCAUUGCCAAAGUAAAAUCAUUGGCCCCUUCUUUGUGCUGUGCUAUUCAUAAUGAUGACUAUUGAAGAUGUAGCAUUUUUCCCUUUGUCUUGUUUUUAGUCUAUAGUUUCUAAGAACAUGAAUUUAGCUUCGAAGCUAAACCACAUUUGUAUAUGAAGGAGCAAUUCCCCUUCUUUUCUCUUCUUGGAUGAUGCAAAAUGAUGAAUGAUGGUAUGAUGCAGAAUGAUGUGAUGAUAUGAUGCAAAAGAUGCUUGAGUUAAAAUAAUAAUAGAAAUCAAAUUAUAAUAAGACUCUUCAUCCUCUUAGGAACGACUUUGGAGUCUCUUCACCUUUACUAGGUGGUAUUUUAGCUCUAUAUCCCCUUAGGAACGGCUUUGGAGCUUCUUCACCUUUAUUAGGUGGUAUUUUAGCUCUCCAUCCCCUUAGGAAUGACUUUGGAGCUUCUUCAUCUUUACUAGGUGUCAUUUUAGCUCUGCAUCCCCUUAGGAACGACUUUAGAGCUUCUUCGACAUUUUUUUACUCGACGGUGUAACCUCAAGUUUAUUACAAAGAGUCGAAGGUUGCACCUUCGCAAAUUGUUUUUAAGACGAAUUGUAAAGAAAAAGAAACAAAAAUUACAAUAGGUGUGCCUCAAAUUCUUGACCCAGCCCCUCUGUUGCUUCAGUAGAUAUGUUUGGAUUCUGGAACAGUGUUGUUGACUAUUCGAGCUUCGGACUCUUCUCUUGCUUCACGAUGCUGCUGGUCUUGAUACUGACCCUGAGGCUGCUGAUUGUUGAGUGUCCCUUAUCCUCUCCACAUGACAGGCAGAAUAGUCUUCUUGGUUGGGAGUUGUGUCUUCCUCCAAAGCUUCCUCCUCCUCUGCCUCUUGGGGCUGGUGGUCUAAAGGAACUCUAGUUACCCCUGUUGAUUGGGAGUUACUCUGCUGCACUUGGUUAUGACUGUUCUUAUCUUCAUUUUGACUUGGGUUGUGGAUUGUUCUAACAUGUCUUGGGUGAAACCUUCCCCCGAAGCCUCUGGUCAUCUCAGAGUACCUAUAAGCUUCUUCCCUUCUUUGUCGAAAAUCAUUACCAGCUCUGAUAUACUCAUCCAUUUUUAGAGAAGCUUCUCUAGAGUUUGAGGGGGUUUUGUAGCAAAAUACUAUGUCGUUGGACCUAGUCGAAGUCCCUUGAUCAUUGCUUCAAUAACAAUUUCAUUUGGCACCAUUGGUGUCUGGGCUCUAAGUCGUAAAAACCUUCGAACAUAGGCCGACAAAUAUUCCUCAUAGUCUUGUGUGCACUGGAACAAGGCCUGAGUAGUCACCGGCUUCGUCUAAAACCCCUGAAAGCUUGCGAUCAACAUAUAAUUCAGUUUCUACCAAGAUGUAAUUAUUCCUAGUGUGAGAGAGGAAUACCAAGUUUCAGCAACACUCCUGACCGCCAUGACGAAGGAUUUUGCCAUGACGACCGUGUUGCCACCAUAGGAUGAUAUGGUUGCUUCAUAGCUCAUCAGAAAUUGUUUUGGGUAUAAUUGACCAUCGUACAUAGGCAGCUGGGGUGGCUUGUACGAAGGUGGCCAUAGCACAACUGAGAACACCUAGAGGGGGGGGGGUGAAUAGGUGAUCCUGUAAAACUUAAACUUAUAGCCACAAAAACUUGUUAAGUGUUAGCACAAUAAAUGCCAAGUGGCUAGAAAGGAGUCUCAACAAAACACAAUACCACGAGAGAUCAAUCACAGAGACAACACAGUGGUUUACCCCGUGGUUCGGCCAAGACCAACGCUUGCCUACUCCACGUUGUGGCGUCCCAACGGACGAGGGUUGCAAUCAACCCCUCUCAAGCGGUCCAAAGACCCACUUGAAUACCACGGUGUUUUGCUUGCUUUUUCUCAAUCCCGUUUGCGAGGAAUCUCCACAACUUGGAGCCUCUCGCCCUUACAAUUGAAGUUCACAAAGAACACAGAGCAAAGGGGGAAUGAGCAACGCACACAAGACUUCAAAAGAUCAGAGCAACAACACGCACACAAGUCGCAACAAGAGCUCGCAACACAACUCAAAGAGUUCGCAACUCAACAAGAGCUCUAGAUGCUAUCACAAUGAAACGAAUGCGUGAGAUCGAUGUCUUGGUGCUUAGGAAUGUUGUAGGAAUGCUUGGUGUUCUCCUCCAUGCGCCUAGGGGUCCCUUUUAUAGCCCCAAGGCAGCUAGGAGCCGUUGAGAACAAAUCUGGAAGGCCAUCCUUGCCUUCUGUCGUCGGGCGCACCGGACAGUCCGGUGCACACCGGACACUGUCCGGUGCCCGAUUUCCUUCCUUAAACAGCGCAGUCGACCUUUGCAGAUCUGGGAGCCGUUGGCGCACCGGACAUGUCCGGUGCACAUCGGACAGUCCGGUGCCCCCUUCCGACCGUUGGCUCGGCCACGUGUCGCGCACGGAUUCCGCGGCCGACCGUUGGCCCGGCCGACCGUUGGCUCACCGGACAGUCCGGUGCACACCGGACAGUCCGGUGAAUUUUAGCCGUACGUCGUCGGCGAAUUCCCGAGAGCGGCCUCUUCGGCCGAGGCAGCCUGGCGCACCGGACACUGUCCGGUGCACCACCGGACAGUCCGGUGCACCACCGGACAGUCCGGUGCCCCAGACCGAAACAGCCUCUUGGCUGUACACAGCCAUCUCUUCUCUUUUCUUCUUCUUUCUGUUUCUAACACUUAGACAAGUAUAUUAGUACACAAAACCAAUGUACUAAGACUUAGAAACAUACCUUUGCUCUUGAUUUGCACUUUGUCCAUCCAUGAGCAUAAAUUCACAUUUAAGCACUUGUGUUGGCACUCAAUCACCAAAAUACUUAGAAAUGGCCCAAGGGCACAUUUCCUUUUCAAUCUCCCCCUUUUUGGUGAUUUAUGCCAACACAACAUAAAGCAACUAGAACAAGUGCAAUAUCACUUCAAAUAAAAACUCAAAUUCAUUUUGAUUCAAUUUGGCAUAUAUGGAUCAUCCUUUGCCACCACUUGGUUUGUUUUUGCAAAUCAAACUCAAAAUCCUAUCUCUAAGUCAAAUCCACUUGUAGAGACAUAAAGAGAGGUUUUCCAAAGAAAAUUGAUUCAAGAUUCCAAAAACUCCCCCUAUUUCCCAUAAUCAAUACUUCUCCCCACAAGAAGCCAACUUUUGACAAGAGAGACAACAAAAGAGAUUUGACAAACCAAAAGCUCUAUUCUACUGUUUUCAAAAUCUCUCAAGUGGUAGCUGAUCCAUUUAUCACUUUGGCCUUUAUUUUCUCCCCCUUUGGCAUCAAGCACCAAAACGGGAUCAAUCUUGGCCCUUUAACCCCAUUGCCUCACCAAAAUCUUCAAUUAAGAGCAAAUAGGCAAUAAGAGUUAAUAGAUGAACUUGGAGAAAUUACUCUUUUCAUCGGAGUGCAGUGGAAGUCUUUCA